GAACGGUAGCUUCAAGCCUCGCCUGGUUCAAUGCCUUAACUGAUGAAGCCAAGAGAAUAGAGUGUAAAGAAACUUUGAUAGAUCCUUCUGCAGCAGUUUGAUUGAGGUCAGUGGUCCUAAAGGUAGCUUGAUGAAUGAUGUAUCAGAUCAUCAUCUCUUGCAUUUCAAACUUUGGAAGGUAGAAGUAUAAUUCACAUGGAAAAGUUAUUGUUAUUGUUGUUGCAGACAGUAAGUAGACGUUUGUUCAUGCACAACUAACAACACUUUCUCUGGUGCUCAGAUAUGCCUACUUACCGAUCUGAAGCUGCGAGAUAAUGAGGCUGUCAUGGAUUACAAUGACCAUCUUCGAUGGAACGAUGACCGAAACUUUCUGAAUCCCAUCCAAUGAGCUCAAGAUGUUCUCGAUCAGUGGGACUUCGGAGGGG
This 425-nucleotide long non-coding RNA is filed under the name Musa acuminata (dwarf banana). RNAcentral's name for it is "long non-coding RNA (MACU_LNC002848)". The record is from RNAcentral. Lineage: Eukaryota; Viridiplantae; Streptophyta; Magnoliopsida; Zingiberales; Musaceae.